RNAcentral lists this ribosomal RNA (479 nucleotides) under uncultured bacterium. RNAcentral describes it as "partial 16S ribosomal RNA". It matches the Rfam family "Bacterial small subunit ribosomal RNA", at positions 28 to 507 of the family's 1533-position model. The record is from RNAcentral.
GAUGAACGCUAGCGGGAGGCCUAACACAUGCAAGCCGAGCGGUAGAGUCUCUUCGGAGACUUGAGAGCGGCGCACGGGUGCGGAACACGUGUGCAACCUGCCUUUAUCUGGGGGAUAGCCUUUCGAAAGGAAGAUUAAUACCCCAUAAUAUACUGGAUGGCAUCAUCUGGUAUUGAAAACUCCGGUGGAUAGAGAUGGGCACGCGCAAGAUUAGAUAGUUGGUGAGGUAACGGCUCACCAAGUCAGCGAUCUUUAGGGAGCCUGAGAGGGUGAUCCCCCACACUGGUACUGAGACACGGACCAGACUCCUACGGGAGGCAGCAGUGAGGAAUAUUGGACAAUGGGUGAGAGCCUGAUCCAGCCAUCCCGCGUGAAGGACGACGGCCCUAUGGGUUGUAAACUUCUUUUGUAUAGGGAUAAACCUAGAUACGUGUAUCUAGCUGAAGGUACUAUACGAAUAAGCACCGGCUAACUCCGUG